UGUAGUCAUAUGCUUGUCUCAAAGAUUAAGCCAUGCAUGUCUAAGUAUAAGCAAUUAUACCGCGAAACUGCGAAUGGCUCAUUAUAUAAGUUAUCGUUUAUUUGAUAGCACAUUACUACUUGGAUAACCGUGGUAAUUCUAGAGCUAAUACAUGCUAAAAAUCCCGACUUCGGAAGGGAUGUAUUUAUUAGAUUAAAAGCCAAUGCCCCUCGGGGCUCUCUGGUGAUUCAUAAUAACUGGUCGAAUCGCAUGGCCUUGCGCCGGCGAUGGUUCAUUCAAAUUUCUUCCCUAUCAACUUUCGAUGCGAGGGUCUUGUCCUCGCAUGGUUGCAACGGGUAACGGAGGGUUAGGGCUCGACCCCGGAGAAGGAGCCUGAGAAACGGCUACUACAUCCAAGGAAGGCAGCAGGCGCGCAAAUUACCCAAUCCCGACACGGGGAGGUAGUGACAAUAAAUACUGAUACAGGGCUCUUUUGGGUCUUGUAAUCGGAAUGAGUACAAUUUAAAUCCUUUAACGAGGAUCAAUUGGAGGGCAAGUCUGGUAAUCG
Molecule: ribosomal RNA, 547 nt
Filed under: uncultured eukaryote
Lineage: Eukaryota
Description: SSU rRNA
Rfam family: Eukaryotic small subunit ribosomal RNA
Source: RNAcentral